GUAUAUGGAGUGAGGUAGAGGUCAAGUUUUGCUUUUUCCCGUUUGACUGUCUUAUUAACUUAACAUCAUUGAUGUAAAUGACCACUCUUUUCCUACUAUGCUUCAGUGCCACCUUUGUCAUAAUCAAGUGUUCCUUCAAGUAUGCAUCUGCUUCUGACUCUCUCCCUUCUGUUCCUUUGAGCUAUUUGUCCUGGGCCUUUACUGCACAUCUCAGAUUUGUCCCAACAAGGAUUGAAGAAGCUGGGUUAUUCAUCCACCAAUUCCUAUUACUCAUUGGUGAAAAGUUGCUCCUGGGGACAUGAACUCCCUUGCACUUCUGCCGUGCUCUGGGAACAAGCCAGAAAUAGUCCUAUGACCAGGGAAAGUCUCCAGGAUCUACUUCUCCACUUACACAAUUGUUGGCAGCAUCCAGUUCCUUGUAGUUAUGGGACUGAGAGCUUCAGAUUUUUGUUGAUUGUUGGCCAGAGACCACCCUCAGCUCGCAGAGGACACCCCCAGUUCUUUGCCAUUUAGGACUGCCCAACAUGGCUACUUGCUUCCGCGUAGUCAGCAAGAGAAAGACUAGCAUGGUGGGCACUACACUCCUAUGGAAUGUAAUCACGUAAUCAUGUAUACAUAAUCACAUGUAUCUUACCCACAUGUAUCCACAUGUACCCACAUCUUAUCACAUGUAUCUUAUUCCAUUUGUGUCACAGGUCCCACACUUACAGGGAAAGCAUCACCCGAAAGUGAGAAUGCCUAGAGGCAGGAAUCAUGGAGGCUUCCUUAACCGUCUGUCUGCAACAGCAGGUGCUAGAGAUGACACUGCAGAGUAGAGAACAAAGGAAUCUUAGUAAUUGUUCAAUCCAAUCUCCACACUUUAAAGAUGAAGAAACUGGUAUUGAGAAAAAUACACAGCUUAUCCAAGGUUGCACUGCUGGUUGGUAGCUGAGAUGAAUUUAGAACCCACAUCUGAUGACUACACCAUAUUGCUCCCAGUUUUCCUGUCUGUUCCACAUGUAAAAGUCUGACUCUUCACUUCUCCUUUGAGUAUAUAGACUUUUAACAUUUUUGUAUGUCAAGAUGGACUUUUCCUCAUACCCAGCCCCUGCCUUUUCUCCUCCCUUCAUACCUUGCAGGAUCUUUAACAGAAUUUAAAAGGAGUUUUUUGUUUUGUUUUGAUGUAUCUAAUAAAAGUCAAGGGAGGGAGAGGGCCAGUAUAAGCAAGAGUACAGUUUCCUAGUUUGUAGAUGCGGUAGUCUGAGGAAUCAGAAACACACAAAGGUUUGGAGAACUGGUACAUGCUCCCAGGUGGGAAGCCAGGACUCUUGGUAGGAUCUUGAGGACAAGGCAAAGGACAAUAAGAGAGCGAGGGGAUCCUAGAGGUGGAAUCAAGGAAGAGAAACUAGAGAGAGAAAAAGGAACUGGCUAUCCAUCCAUGAUGGAUCCUGUGUGGACUGAUGGGUGGCUUGGCAUCAUCCUUUAGUAGACUUCAUGUGGUUGAAUAAUUGGCCAAUGGAAGGAAUUUCUUUUUUGGUAACAGACUCUGUGUGUACAGUUAUGGGUCUUAAUUUAUAAUAAAAGGUUACAUUGAAAAUUGAGC
Molecule: long non-coding RNA, 1582 nt
Organism: Homo sapiens (human)
Lineage: Eukaryota; Metazoa; Chordata; Mammalia; Primates; Hominidae
Product: long intergenic non-protein coding RNA 2532
Source: Ensembl